This 497-nucleotide ribosomal RNA is filed under the name uncultured bacterium. RNAcentral describes it as "partial 16S ribosomal RNA". It matches the Rfam family "Bacterial small subunit ribosomal RNA", at positions 28 to 507 of the family's 1533-position model. The record is from RNAcentral.
GAUGAACGCUGGCGGCGUGCCUAAUACAUGCAAGUCGAGCGAACAGAUGAGGAGCUUGCUCCUCUGACGUUAGCAGCGGACGGGUGAGUAACACGUGGAUAACCUACCUAUAAGACUGGGAUAACUUCGGGAAACCGGAGCUAAUACCGGAUAAUAUAUUGAACCGCAUGGUUCAAUAGUGAAAGACGGUUUUGCUGUCACUUAUAGAUGGAUCCGCGCCGCAUUAGCUAGUUGGUAAGGUAACGGCUUACCAAGGCAACGAUGCGUAGCCGACCUGAGAGGGUGAUCGGCCACACUGGAACUGAGACACGGUCCAGACUCCUACGGGAGGCAGCAGUAGUGAAUCUUCCGCAAUGGGCGAAAGCUUGACGGAGCAACGCCGCGUGAGUGAUGAAGGUCUUCGGAUCGUAAAACUCUGUUAUUAGGGAAGAACAAAUGUGUAAGUAACUAUGCACGUCUUGACGGUACCUAAUCAGAAAGCCACGGCUAACUACGUG